CGGCAAUAUAAUAUUGAAACACCAGUUCUCGUACAAUAACCGAAGUUAAGCAACGUUGAGCAUAGACAGUAGCAAAUGGGUGACCGUUUGGGAAUACCAGGUGCUGUAA
Acanthosepion pharaonis is the source of this 109-nucleotide non-coding RNA. NCBI's taxonomy places the organism in Eukaryota, Metazoa, Mollusca, Cephalopoda, Sepiida, Sepiidae. The record is from the annotation of a GenBank genome assembly.